This 551-nucleotide long non-coding RNA is filed under the name Struthio camelus australis. RNAcentral describes it as "lncRNA (ENSSCUG00000008782.1)". Lineage: Eukaryota; Metazoa; Chordata; Aves; Struthioniformes; Struthionidae. The record is from RNAcentral.
CUACUGAAGAGCUGGGUUUGACUAUUACCAUACACAAUAACUAAACCUCUUUACCCUACCCAGUGCUCUAUUACUUGGGUUAGACAAACUAGGAUUUGUUUUUGCUUUAAAGUCUCAUCUAGAGAUGAGCCAGCUUAUUACCAGUGACAACUGUGAAAAAAGGACAGAGGCAUGCCCACGAGGGAUUGUCCCUGAUAAUUUCUGCCUCAAUGGUAAAGUAGAUAGGUAAAUUUGACUGAGUGUCUUUUCUAUCCAUUGCAUAGUAGCAGUAGCAUCAGUGAAGAGACUUUCUCCAGCAAUAACGAGAAGACAGCUAAUAUGAAAUGGUGGGAUGUGCUCAUCUACAGGCAUAAAAUCAAAAAAGUCCGUAUGUGAAAAACCAAGCACGUGGCACCACUGCACCUGGAUACAGUGCAGCUGUCAGCCCAGGAGGGAGGGAGAAGAUAUUCAACUUGCAAAGGCUUCAUCCGUUACUGAAAAGGCUUUAUGAACCAAGCAACGGAAGUCUGGGUUUUGACCAACUCUGCCACUGACCUUUCGGGUGACUACAG